GCCUGGGUGGCUCAGUCGGUUAAGCAACUGACUUUGGCUCAGGUCAUGAUCUCAUGGUUCGUGGGUUUGAGCCCCACGUUGGGCU
Transfer RNA from Felis catus (domestic cat), 85 nucleotides. It matches the Rfam family "tRNA". From Rfam's summary of the family: Transfer RNA (tRNA) molecules are approximately 80 nucleotides in length. Their secondary structure includes four short double-helical elements and three loops (D, anti-codon, and T loops). The record is from Rfam. NCBI's taxonomy places the organism in Eukaryota, Metazoa, Chordata, Mammalia, Carnivora, Felidae.